Molecule: non-coding RNA, 133 nt
Organism: Armillaria nabsnona
Lineage: Eukaryota; Fungi; Basidiomycota; Agaricomycetes; Agaricales; Physalacriaceae
Source: the annotation of a GenBank genome assembly
GGUGAGAUGGCCGAGUGGUUAAGGCGCCAGACUAAGGCUGACUAAUCGAUAGAUGCGUCGAUAAUGGACCAAAUCACAUGGUGAUUAUGCUAUCUGGUCCGAAAGGGCGUGGGUUCGAGUCCCACUCUCAUCA